Molecule: long non-coding RNA, 511 nt
Filed under: Carica papaya (papaya)
Lineage: Eukaryota; Viridiplantae; Streptophyta; Magnoliopsida; Brassicales; Caricaceae
Description: long non-coding RNA (CPAP_LNC012623)
Source: RNAcentral
AAUAUUUUAUUUCGAAAUUAAAAAUAAUAAGCAUUAAAAAAAGAAACAGUACAUAGUUUAUGAUUAAAAAAAAUAAGAUUAUAACGGACUCCGCUCACCAAAGGCAGCACAGUAUUCCUCCUAGAAAGCUAAAAUCACAUCAGUCUUAAAAACUUUUUGAGACCCAAUAUUAAAUGCCUCGCCCGUGCGGGGCCCACCUGUGUGUUUAUCUUCUGGAGGGUGCGUGUAGUGUGGGCCCGUAACUACGGUAAGGCCGGUGGUACAGCUGACGGCAAAUAGCCGGCGGAUAAGUCGCCGGAUGGGUUCGACAUUUCCUACUGCUGCAGCCAACCCCGGCUGUCCGCUUUACUGAGGCCGAUAGACCCACUCAUAUUUUGCCACGUGUCGUUGGAGCUUUGAUUUGAUGGUAGCUCUGUUCACCGUCCCCGCGUCAGCUUAGGUGUAGUCUAGCCUAGCGACUGAGACGCGCUUUAAACAUUCUAUGUUACCAGGGGGGGUUUACUCAGACCAG